This 596-nucleotide small RNA is filed under the name Marasmius sp. 7071504. RNAcentral's name for it is "eukaryotic LSU rRNA". It matches the Rfam family "Eukaryotic large subunit ribosomal RNA", at positions 72 to 652 of the family's 3401-position model. Lineage: Eukaryota; Fungi; Basidiomycota; Agaricomycetes; Agaricales; Marasmiaceae. The record is from RNAcentral.
GGAUUCCCCUAGUAACUGCGAGUGAAGAGGGAAAAGCUCAAAUUUAAAAUCUGGCAGUCUCUGGCUGUCCGAGUUGUAAUUUAGAGAAGUGUUACCCGCGCUGGACCGUGUACAAGUCUCCUGGAAUGGAGCGUCAUAGAGGGUGAGAAUCCCGUCUUUGACACGGACUACCAGGGCAUUGUGGUGCGCUCUCGAAGAGUCGAGUUGUUUGGGAAUGCAGCUCUAAAUGGGUGGUAAAUUCCAUCUAAAGCUAAAUAUUGGCGAGAGACCGAUAGCGAACAAGUACCGUGAGGGAAAGAUGAAAAGAACUUUGGAAAGAGAGUUAAACAGUACGUGAAAUUGCUGAAAGGGAAACGCUUGAAGUCAGUCGCGUUGGCCAGGGAUCAGCCUUGCUUCUGUGAGGUGUACUUCCUGGUUGACGGGUCAGCAUCAGUUUCGACCACUGGAGAAAGGCUUGGGGAAUGUGGCACCUCCGGGUGUGUUAUAGCCCCUUGUCGUAUACAGUGGUUGGGACUGAGGAACUCAGCACGCCGCAAGGCCGGGAUUCGUCCACGUUCGUGCUUAGGAUGCUGGCAUAAUGGCUUUAAGCGACCCGU